AAAAUAGAUACCCCUGGUAGUCCACGCCCUAAACGAUGCGAACUGGAUGUUGGGUACAUUACGGUACUCAGUGUCGAAGCUAACGCGUUAAGUUCGCCGCCUGGGGAGUACGGUCGCAAGACUGAAACUCAAAGGAAUUGACGGGGGCCCGCACAAGCGGUGGAGUAUGUGGUUUAAUUCGAUGCAACGCGAAGAACCUUACCUGGCCUUGACAUCUGUCGAAUCCUGCAGAGAUGCGGGAGUGCCGCAAGGAACGACGAGACAGGUGCUGCAUGGCUGUCGUCAGCUCGUGUCGUGAGAUGUUGGGUUAAGUCCCGCAACGAGCGCAACCCUUGUCCCUAGUUGCCAGCACAUAAUGGGUGGGAACUCGUAGGGAGACUGCCGGUGACAAACCGGAGGAAGGUGGGGAUGACGUCAAGUCCUCAUGGCCCCUUACGGCCAGGGCUACACACGUACUACAAUGGUCGGUACAGAGGGUUGCGAAGCCGCGGAGGUGGAGCCAAUCCCAGAAAAACCGNUACCCAGUCCGGAUCGGAGUCUGCUAACCG
Molecule: ribosomal RNA, 548 nt
Filed under: uncultured bacterium
Lineage: Bacteria
Description: bacterial SSU rRNA
Rfam family: Bacterial small subunit ribosomal RNA
Source: RNAcentral